AUUGAAAGCUGGCGGCAGGCUUACCACAUGCAAGUCGAACGAGUGGCGGACGGGUGAGUAAUGCUUGGGAAUCUAGCUUAUGGAGGGGGAUAACUACGGGAAACUGUAGCUAAUACCGCGUAACAUAGGAUGAGCCCAAGUGGGAGUAGGUAGUUGGUGAGGUAAAGGCUCACCAAGCCGACGAUCUCUAGCUGGUCUGAGAGGCUUACCAGCCACACUGGGACUGAGACACGGCCCAGACUCCUACGUGAGGCAGCAGGGGGGAAUAUUGCACAAUGGGCGAAAGCCUGAUGCAGCCAUGCCGCGUGUGUGAAGAAGGCCUUCGGGUUGUAAAGCACUUUCAGCGAGGAGGCGUUACUCGCAGAAGAAGCACCGGCUAACUCCGUGCCAGCAGCCGCGGUAAUUC
Molecule: ribosomal RNA, 406 nt
Filed under: uncultured bacterium
Lineage: Bacteria
Description: partial 16S ribosomal RNA
Rfam family: Bacterial small subunit ribosomal RNA
Source: RNAcentral